UACGGAGGGUGCAAGCAUUAAUCGGAUUUAUUGGGCGUAAAGGGCGCGUAGGCGGCGUGAAAAGUCAGAUGUGAAAUCCUGGGGCUCAACCUCAGAACAGCAUUUGAAACUCUCACACUAGAGGGUAGGCGGAGAAAACGGAAUUCCACAAGUAGCGGUGAAAUGCGUAGACAUGUGGAAGAACACCGGUGGCGAAGGCGGUUUUCUAGCUUAUUCCUGACGCUGAGGCGCGAAAGCAAGGGGAUCAAACAGG
RNAcentral lists this ribosomal RNA (253 nucleotides) under uncultured Candidatus Protochlamydia sp. RNAcentral's name for it is "partial 16S ribosomal RNA". It matches the Rfam family "Bacterial small subunit ribosomal RNA", at positions 524 to 776 of the family's 1533-position model. Lineage: Bacteria; Pseudomonadati; Chlamydiota; Chlamydiia; Parachlamydiales; Parachlamydiaceae. The record is from RNAcentral.